Molecule: unclassified non-coding RNA, 205 nt
Filed under: Hevea brasiliensis (rubber tree)
Lineage: Eukaryota; Viridiplantae; Streptophyta; Magnoliopsida; Malpighiales; Euphorbiaceae
Source: RNAcentral
UUGUUGUGACCUUGGUCUUGGGCUGGGUUGGUGGUAAUCCAGGAUUUGUUUUGCUCCAUGUUUUUAGCUGGGCCUAUAAUCUGCUUGUACUUAUUAUUUUAUGCAGUAAAUUUACUCUAUUAAAGAAAAAUUGAAUGAAAAAUUAUGUUAGAGAUAAUUUUUGUAUGAAUUGAAAGGUAACUAUGUUGUAUCUCUCUCUAUGGAA